This 253-nucleotide ribosomal RNA is filed under the name uncultured bacterium. RNAcentral describes it as "partial 16S ribosomal RNA". It matches the Rfam family "Bacterial small subunit ribosomal RNA", at positions 524 to 776 of the family's 1533-position model. The record is from RNAcentral.
UACGUAGGGUGCAAGCGUUGUCCAGAAUUAUUGGGCGUAAAGAGCUCGUAGGCGGUCUGUCGCGUCGGCUGUGAAAACUCGGGGCUCAACUCCGAGCUUGCAGUCGAUACGGGCAGGCUAGAGUUCGGCAGGGGAGACUGGAAUUCCUGGUGUAGCGGUGAAAUGCGCAGAUAUCAGGAGGAACACCGGUGGCGAAGGCGGGUCUCUGGGCCGAUACUGACGCUGAGGAGCGAAAGCGUGGGGAGCGAACAGG